RNAcentral lists this ribosomal RNA (485 nucleotides) under Perionyx sp. 1 WL-2010. RNAcentral describes it as "partial 16S ribosomal RNA". It matches the Rfam family "Bacterial large subunit ribosomal RNA", at positions 1824 to 2598 of the family's 2925-position model. The record is from RNAcentral. Lineage: Eukaryota; Metazoa; Annelida; Clitellata; Crassiclitellata; Megascolecidae.
UGCCAUAUGUAUACACAUAUAAGGUAAUUUCCUGCCCAGUGACGAAAGUUCAACGGCCGCGGUAUCCUAACCGUGCAAAGGUAGCAUAAUCACUUGCCUAUUAAUUGUAGGCUAGAAUGAACGGAUCAACGAAAUAAAACCUGUCUCAGUUAGCAACCUAAAAAUUAUUCUCCAUACGAAGAAAUAUGGAUAAAAUCGAAGGACAAGAAGACCCUAUAGAGCUUUAUUUAAGUCACAGACUAUAAUCUAGUGUAAUAAUUCGGUUGGGGCGACCAAGGGAAUAAAUAUCACCCUGUAACACAAAGAUCUAUAAAUCCUGUAAUUGACCCUUAUAAGAUCACAAGAUCAAGCUACCUUAGGGAUAACAGGCUAAUCCCACUCAAGAGUCCAUAUCAACAGUGGGGUUUGGCACCUCGAUGUUGGCUUAGGUAACUAUGCAGCGCAAAAGCUACAUUAUGUUGGUUUGUUCAACCAAUAAUUUCCUA